AGCGAACGCUGGCGGCAGGCCUAACACAUGCAAGUCGAACGAACCUUUCGGGGUUAGUGGCGGACGGGUGGGUAACACGUGGGAACGUGCCUUUAGGUUCGGAAUAACUCAGGGAAACUUGUGCUAAUACCGAAUGUGCCCUUCGGGGGAAAGAUUGAUCGCCUUUAGAGCGGCCCGCGUCUUAUUAGCUAGUUGGUUGAGGUAAUGGCUCACCAAGGCGACGAUCAGUAGCUGGUCUGAGAGGAUGAUCAGCCACAUUGGGACUGAGACACGGCCCAAACUCCUACGGGAGGCAGCAGUGGGGAAUCUUGCGCAAGGGGCGAAAGUCUGACGCAGCCAUGCCGCGUGAAUGAUGAAGGUCUUAGGAUUGUAAAAUUCUUUCACCGGGGACGAUAAUGACGGUACCCGGAGAAGAAGCCCCGGCUAACUUCGUG
RNAcentral lists this ribosomal RNA (434 nucleotides) under uncultured bacterium. Its description in RNAcentral is "partial 16S ribosomal RNA". It matches the Rfam family "Bacterial small subunit ribosomal RNA", at positions 29 to 507 of the family's 1533-position model. The record is from RNAcentral.